CGAACAUAUUCAGUGCUCUGUGUUCUAGACAACAACUGUCGGCUUCAACUAGUUUGCAUAUUUGUCUGAUACAUUCCUAAUUUGCAGUUCGCCGUUAGUGAUUUAGGAGGUUGCUCCAGUACGCCGAUUAUAUAGUUGCAGCUCAGAGCAGUGUACAUGACGCUGUUUGGGUCCGUUUGAACAACUUUUGUGGGAUAUAGUUUCAAAUUCUUGUACUCUCAACAGGGUUGCAAGUAGGGGCAAACAUCCAAUUUACAUCUCUGUUUGAAAAUUCAACGAAGUGAAUAUUUGUGAGUCUGGCAAGGUGAUACGAUCGCAUAAAAUUGUACAUCAUUUAUUUGAUAUUGAACAAGGCCGAAAUUGUUGUUAAGGCCAGAGCUGUUUUCGUCUCCUUGUCCUCCGUUAAACCUUUGUUUGAAUUUAUCAAUAUUUUAAAUAACUUUGAUGGGAUAGAGGCUGUCAGAUCUUCCAAACGAGAGUUUCAUUCACAAACCAGAGAUUUUAUCAAACUAGAAAUAUGUUCUGGAAAAGGGGGAAAAUACACGCCAGGUUUCUGUCAUUAAAUCCUUCUAUUCCCAUCACAAGGAGCCACGACAGUUCCGGCUGAAAACCCAUUUAAAAAUCCUACCACGACCCCUGUCUGUGUAGCGAAAAAAGGUGAAAUUGAAGAGGACAAAAAGGCCCCCUGACCAUCUAUUUUGACCACAGCUCCGUCGAUUUAAUUCUGUAGCCCCAAACAAUUCUUUCAGACGUAUAACUUUGAUAAUACACUAACAGCGCGUUUGGGGCAUGGUCAGCCCAUGAUCCUAAAUGAUCUUUCUUCUCCUAUUUGGCAAAAUAAUUAAACAGAUAACUGCAGCACAGGGUUGUUUCUCAAUUCCGACUGUGUUUAUAAUGUUGGUUAUGGUUGAAAUGAAUGAGAAGCCGAGGCAAUGUUUACGAGCAGGUAAAUGUGUUUGUAUGAUAGAUAGGCAAGGCAUGCCGAUUAAGCUUCUGGCGCGGUGAAGUGCUUCAGGAAGAAAGGGUCUAAUGGCGAAUUGAAGCGGAUCUGGAGGGCUAUCGACUACUGGGAGUUUUUUUAUUAAAGACCCAACUGCGAAGAUUAUGUUGGAAGACUGCAUUGAUAUCAUGUUGUUUAUACGAGCGGUAUGAAGGCAGGGUUUUAGCGGCCAGCCCCGCCUCGCUGUUUUGCCUGACUACGAUGCUCAUGAGAGCCGAGCAAUAUGGCCAUAAUUUAGCCACGCACCACAGCUAAACAUUUGUUUACAAUUUUUACACUUUGAUCAAAACCCAUAUGGCAAACAUCCCGCAAAUCAACCACUUAAGCCAUCGAUAUUCUUUAGAUUGUAUAGCUGUGGGUAUCCUCCAUACACUAAGACAAGGAACCGCUUUAAUUAAAAAAAAAAAUAAAAUGGGAAUAAAAAAAAUGUAUGGAUGAACGUUAGAAUCACUACAUACAUACGUGUCAAAAAAGCAGAUGAUGCACUUCUCGAUCGAAGGGGACUAAAACCUUCAACCCAUGUAAAUAAAGACAAUCAAGUGGUAGAUGUUUUGCGUCUCGGGUACGGGAAAACUACCCACUAUAAAAAUAUAUAUGCUGUGCUCUUUAUUAAGAUUUGGAAUCGGCUGUUUGGUCUGCUGAGGGAUAAACAGUCGCAGAGAACGUGAGAUCUGGAAUUCCACUGUUUGUUUAGACGAACGGAAAGAACAACCCAAUCCUAACGCUGCCGUGGGAAUACAGAAGUUUCGUCAUUAUUGAGUCUGUUGUUUCUUGAUGUAGAUUUGAUUGUCAACUCAAGAAUAAAAAGAAGAAUGCAUUGUUUUUUCUAUCGGCCUGUUUAGCGCCAUAUUCGUGGGAGGCUGUGUUAUGGGGAUGUCAACGCUAUCUACUCACACAGGGCAACUUCAAAGGAAUCAAUUUGUCGGUUGAGAUAAGUGGUACAGCUUCUACAUUUACUAGACUUAAGCCACGUGGAAUUCUCAAAAGCCUCUUAAACGCAAACAAGCCCUAUUACACGCAAAGUUCAUUAAUAGAAAUCUGUCUGCACGUGCACUUCCAACAUCGCAGUGCACGUGAAACAUUCAUGAACGGAGCACUUAAAGGCACGAAGCACUCAACGGUUAGAAGGAGUAUUAUCACCAAUCUCUUAGACCUAUAGAUACGAAGGAGUUAAAACACAAACGUUACUUAUUCAAAAGGCAUUGUCAGACUCGUUUAAAGUGUGGUAAUAAAUAACGAGAUCACUAUGGUUUUUACUAAA
Nematostella vectensis (starlet sea anemone) is the source of this 2261-nucleotide long non-coding RNA. RefSeq lists it as uncharacterized. NCBI's taxonomy places the organism in Eukaryota, Metazoa, Cnidaria, Anthozoa, Actiniaria, Edwardsiidae. The transcript is spliced from 2 exons. The record is from RefSeq and is a predicted model, not a curated record.